AUCAUACUGUAAAUUAGAAUUGAUUUAGUGAAAUCAAUAUAUAAUAAUUAAAUGAAAAAGAUAUAGUUUGGACUAGUCUCGUCAUGAGACAGUCUGUCAGGAGCUUAUGCCUGAGAUAGUCUGUUAGGAGCUUAUGCAUGGGACAGUUGGUUAGGAGCUUAUAUCUGAGACAGUCUGCCAAGAGCUUAUGCCGGGAUAGCCCCUACGGACUUUUAUAUGUGGGAC
This 225-nucleotide long non-coding RNA is filed under the name Elaeis guineensis (African oil palm). RNAcentral's name for it is "long non-coding RNA (EGUI_LNC046531)". Lineage: Eukaryota; Viridiplantae; Streptophyta; Magnoliopsida; Arecales; Arecaceae. The record is from RNAcentral.